UAAGCUUUAAGGAAUCGUUAAGAUCAUUUGGGACUUGGAUGGAAAGGAAGAGCUGAGCUGCUAAAAGCUGUGAAAAUGACCGAACUAUUUCCAGAUGUUUGUCUGAGAUGAGCCCUUGUAAUUGAAUCAUGUCUUUGCAUGGUCCAUGAUUACAUUACUGUUGAAUUCAUGCAUAAUGACAUUACUCUCAAUAAGCUCCAUCAAGCCACUGGGCAAGAGGAAUCUUUGCCACCACGAUUGGCAGGAACUUUCUGAACUAUCAGGGCACAGCUGUCACCUGCAGCUCCAUAAAAUCUCUGGACAAGAGGAGGCCGGCAUUGGGGACAUAUCAGGGUGCUUGGAAUACUGCUCUUAAGAAUUUGGACAGGACAAGCUCCAGAGGGGCAAAGUUGGAGAAAGGGCCCAGCUGAGCACCAUAGAAGAGUUGGAGAAGUGACUUUGCUUCAAAUAAUUUGAGGGCUGCAGUAAUGGAAGACUUGAAGAUGUGUUUGAAAUUGCAAAGAACAUACUGCUUUCAAGGUAACUUCAGAAUAGAAGGAAUCUCCAAACUGGAGGAGGAAACCUAUGGCUGAAAUAAAGGCCGGCUGGCCGGCAGGGGUGAAAUACACCCUAGAAGAUCAGGAUCAGCUCAGAUGGCCCUUCUGUCGGUCCCUGAUUUCCGAGAUGUUUGGGGCUCUAGGACCCGUGAAAGGGCCUUUUCGGUUGCUGCCCUGCUCCUUUGGAAUUCUCUUCCCCUACAGAUCCGGCUAGCACCUUCCUUACCGAUCUUCAAAUCGCUAUUGAAGACUUUACUUUUUCACCAGGCCUUUGCCCUGUAGUUCAUUUUUCUGUUUUCUGGUAGUUACUUUAGUUCUUUAAUAAUUUUUAAUUAUUAAUGUAAUGUAAUUUUUAAUGUUGCCUGUUUGCCUGCUGUACAUCGCCCAGAGUCUUCAGA
Hemicordylus capensis (graceful crag lizard) is the source of this 934-nucleotide long non-coding RNA. RefSeq lists it as uncharacterized. The transcript has 6 exons. NCBI's taxonomy places the organism in Eukaryota, Metazoa, Chordata, Lepidosauria, Squamata, Cordylidae. The record is from RefSeq and is a predicted model, not a curated record.